ACUUCAAAUACUGUAGUCUCGUUGUUUGACCCACAGUUCAAAACGCCUUACUUUUCAAACCCAGUGUUUGCUUCAUUAGAAUACCCUUUCGGGUUUUCAUCCUAAUCUUUUGUGUUAAUCAAGACGCCCUUUCUGGUUUUUCACCUUGAAUUUUUUUUAGGCAUAAUAUUUCUUCACAGCAUCUGAAUUCACUAGAUUAGGUAACUCUUUCCCAUCCAUCUCAGUGAGAAUCAAAGCUCCACUUGAGAAAGCCUUCUUUACGACAUAUGGUCCUUCCCAAUUUGGUGCCCAUUUUCCUCGCAGGUCUUUUUGUAUUGGGAGAAUCUUUCUCAGUACGAGUUCUCCUUCGUGGAAUUCUCUCAGCCGUACUUUCUUGUCAUGGGCCGCGAUCAUUCUUUUCUGGUACAUAUGUCCGUGACAAAUUGUCUUUAAACAUUUUUCUUCGAUUAGGUUUAACUGGUCAUAUCGAGCUCGGACCCAUUCUGCUUCCUCUAAUUUCGACUCCAUUAAGACUUGUAGAAAAGGGAUCUCAACUUCGAUAGGUAGCACAGCUUCCAUCCAUAGACCAGAGAGAAAGGAGUUGCUCCCGGAGACGUCCGUACAGAUGUGUGAUAUGCAUACAAAGUAAAUGGUAACUUCUCGUGCCAGGCUUUAUAUGUCUCGGUCAUUUUCCCAAUAAUCUUCUUGAUAUUCUUGUUGGUCGCUUCAACAGCUCCGUUCAUUUUCAAGCAAUAGAGUGAUGAGUUAUGAUGCUUUAUUUGAAAUUGCUCACUGUAACACCCCUAACCCGAGACCGUUUCCGGAGUCGAGCACGAGGCAUUACUUAGCUUAUCUUACCAAUUCGGAGCAUAAAAACUAGGUUUGAAAAUUUAUUUCAUUAUUCGCAGCAAAUCUGUCCAAUCGCGCAGCAGUUACUAAAUUAAUUAUAACUUGAGCUACAGAACUCGAAAUUUAAUUCCGUAAAUUUUCCCUGAAACUAGACUCAUAUAUCUACUCACCAUAAAAUUUUUAGAAUUUUUGGUUUAGCAAAUUAGUACAGUUUAUUAGUUAAAGUCUCCCCUGUUUCACCACCUGACUGCCCUGACCUCUAGUCACUAAAAAUAAGUUUUCUCACUGUAGGAUUUUCAUAUGAAGUUCUUACUUGUUUCUACAGAAAAUAGACUCUUUAAUAAAUCUAAGCAUGUAAAUUUAAACUCAUAACCAUUUUUGUACAAUUUCUAAUUAUUUUCUAAACUCAGAACAGGGGACUCCAAAAACAGUUCUGACCCUAUCUUACUAAAAUUCACAUAUCUUAAAAUAUAAAUUUCCUUUUUCUACAUCGUUAUUUUUCCAUGAAAAUAGACUCAACAAGCUUUAAUUCUAUAUAUCAUUCACCCUCUAAUUCAUUUUAUACUAUCUUGGGUGAUUUUUCAAAUUCACGUCACUGUGCUGCCUGAAUUCUGUUUCUUUGCAAAAUUUUAUCCUUUCAUGAUUUCCAUGCAUAAUUUAUCACCUAAUCUUUCAUAACAACAAACACCUUCAUCCUUAAUCAUUUUAAUAACCAUACAUCAUCAAAUACUUACACAUCACUCAUUAGCAAAAUCAUCAUUACAAACAUACAAAAUAACUAAAUCCCUAUACAUGCCAUAACUCAAACGUGUUUCGAUAUAAAAUACCGAGCAGUUGUAGUUGAUAGUGUGGACGAUCUCCGACUUCUUUAGGAUCCUUGAAGUAGCUUUGCAAUACUAUAAGAGAAAGAGAAAUAAAAGAAGUAAGCAUAAAGCUUAGUAAGUUUACUAGAAAAUAAAUAACAAUAUUUAACUUAAAUAAUUGAACUCAAUGUCUAUAUCUCUAGUUUACUCUUUAGUUAAUCUCAUACUAGUUCUCUUACUUGAUUACUUAGAAUACUUGUGUGCAUAACUUACUCAAUCCUUGCUGCAUCGUUGAACAUCAAUUGAUAGUAUAAUAAGUUCUUAAGUCUUACAACUUACCUGAGCUUGCCAUUUAUACUUUAAACUGAACUUUCAUGAACAUGAUUCGUUUACAAGCCCGUUGAGCUACAUUGGAAUAAUAAGGAUACUCGGGUCUCUUCUGAUAAUAACAUGCCAAAGCCAUGUCCCAGACAUGGUCUUACAUGGGAUGUUCUCGUGAUGGUGCCCAUGCCAUGUCCCAGACAUGGUCUUAUAGGGGACCUCUCAUCUCGGUGCCAACGCCAUGUCCCAGACAUGGUCUUACAUGGGACCUCUCGUCUCGGUGCCCAUGCCAUGUCCCAGACAUGGUCUUACAGGGGACCUCUCAUGAUCUUAAGGAUGCCAAUGCCAUGUCCCAGACAUGGUCUUACAUGGGAUCUCUUUACCCAAAUGUCAUGACAUUCGUAUCCAGUACCAUCCUUAUGUAUCAACGGGACUUUUAAAUUUUAAUUCUCUAUCAUUUCAUGCUUGGAUCAUCAUCAAAUAAAUUCAUAAAAUAAAUUCAUAAUUGCUGGAAAUUAACAGAAUUAAUAAUAAAUAUUGAAAUAUUGCAUUUAUUUACCGUAAACUUACCUCGGUACCAAUUAUAGCCAAAUUCACCAACUUAGUCUUCAACUUUAUUCUUCCCUUUGUCUAACCUCGAGUUUCGUACUUCUUGAUCUAAAAUAGUAAAUUUAACUUAUUUAAUAAUCACAUUCAUCAAAACAGCCCUCGACUCUAACUUUUUCAAAAUUACAAUUUUGCCCCUAAACUUUUACAUAAUUACAUUUUUGCCCCAAGGCUCAGAAAUUAAACUUCAUCUCUUAUUCUUAUGUUUUAUAACAUUCUGAACAUUUUUCCCUUUUAUGGCAACAUCAAAUUCCCACUCUAACAUGUACUUAUGAACAUUAGGUAUUUUUACCGAUUAUGUCGUUUUACUCGUUUUCACUUAAAAUCGCUUAGAAAAAGUUAUUUAACAUAAUUUCUAGCUUCAUAUUCUAUCAUAAAACAUCAAAAUAAACACUUUUCACCUAUGGGUAUUUUUCCAAAUAUAAACCCUAGGUUAAAUUAUUGCUAGAAUAAGCUAAAUUAAGCUACCGGGAUCUCAAAAACGUAAAGAACAUUAAAAACGGGGCUUGGGAUCACUUACUAUGGAGCUUGGAAGCUUGAAAACCCUAACUAUGGCUUCCCCCCUUGCUGAUUUCGUUCAUAUGAAGAAGAUGAUGAUUUUUUCCAUCUUUUUCCCUUUUAAUUCAUUUUAAUUACUAGAUUACCAAAUUGCCCCUAACUUAAAAAUUUUCUAUUUCACUUAUCUCAUGUCCAUUUUUGUCUACCAAGUUACCAAUGGUAUAAUUACCAUAUAAGGACCUCCAAUUUAAAAUUUCAUAACAAUUGGACACCUCUAACAUGUAGAACUCAACUUUUGCACUUUUUACAAUUUAGUCCUUUUGACUAAAUUGAGUGCCCAAACGUCGAAAUUUUCGAACGAAAUUUUCAAAAAAUCAUUUUGUGAAAUUGUAGAACAUAAAAAUAUAAGAAAAAUAAAAUUUUUCUCAUCGGAUUUGUGGUUCCGAAACCACUAUUCCGAUAACCUCAAAUUUGGGCCAUUACACUCACACACUUCCUUCAUCAUCUUGUUGUUCAAAUUCAAGGCGUUAUCCGAAAUGAUUCUUUCAGGCAAACCAUAUCGAUAAAUAAUUUCCUUUUUCAAAAACCUGCAAACUGCAGUCUUCGUCACAUUGGUAAACGAAGCGGCUUCUAUCCAUUUUGUGAAGUAAUCAAUAACCAAAAAAAUGAACCGGUGUCUAUUAGAAGCUUUUGGAGAAAUUGGCCCUAUAACAUCCAUGCCCCACAUAGAAAAAGGCCACUGAGAACUCAUGACAUGAAGGGGCAAAGGGGCGAAGGGGCUGCAUGAAUUUUAUCAUCGUAAAUUUGACAUUUGUGGCACUUUCGUGCAUAGCUAAUACAGUCGCUUUCCAUCUUCAGCCAGUAGUAACCAAGUCACAUAAUCUUCCUAGCCAUAGUGAAACCAUUCGCAUACGUCCCACAAAUUCCUUCAUGGACAUAUUCAAGUAUUUUUCUAGCUUCAACAUCAUCCACGCAUCUCAAGAGCACUUGACCUUUUCCUCUUUUGUACAGAAUGUCCCCAUCAAGAACAAAUCCCGCUGCCAUUCUUCUGAUUGUUCUUUUGUCGUUCUUAUUUGCUUGUUCGGGAUACCUUUGAUUCUUGAUAUAUUCUAAGAUAUUAUGGAACCAUUAUCAUCCAUUUGGCUAUUUUUCAAUGCUGAAACAAUGUGCAGGGACUUCAUAUAUACUCAUUUGAAGAGGCAUUAUUUAUGUUUCUCUAUUUGCUUUGAACAUUGAAGCCAAAGUGGUCAGGGCAUCGGCCAAUUGGUUGUCUUCUCGUGGGAAGUUAUUAAAAGUUAUUUCUUUGAAUUCUUUAAUCAGUCCUGCCACUAGAUCGUUGUAUUUAACUAAUUUCGAAUCUCUCACUUCCUAAUCUCCACGGAUUUGGUAUAUCACUAACGCUGAGUCCCCAUACACCUCUAAGAUUUCGAUGUUUCGUUCAAUAGCUGCACGAAGUCCCAUGAUACAGGCCUCAUAUUCCGUUAUGUUAUUGGUACAGAAGAAAUUCAGCCUGGCAAUGAAGGGAUAAUGGUUCCCUUCUAGUGAUACUAAGACUGCUCCAAUCUCAUGCCCCAAUGUGUUCGAUGCACCAUCAAAGCUCAUCUUCCAUGACUACUCUUUGGAUGACUCACAUUCUUUUCCCGUAAUGCACAUCAAGUCUUCAUCUGGGAAAUCAAAUCACAAUGGCUCGUAUUCUUUCGUUAUUCGAGUUGCUAAGAAAUUAGCUAUUGCGCUCUCCUUUAUCGACUUUUGGCUCACAUAGACGAUGUCGUAUUCUGAUAGUAGGAUCUGCCAUCGUGCCAUUCUUCCUAGGAGUGCAGGUCAUUCCAUCAUGUACUUUAUUGGGUCCAGCUUUGAAAUUAACCAUGUCGUAUGAUACAACAUAUAUUGCCUGAGCCUUCGAACUACCUAGACCAAAGCGCAACAGAAUUUUUCAAUUGACGAGUACUUUGCCUCAUACUCUGUGAACUUUUUGCUGAGAUAGUAAAUCGCCUUUUCUCUUUUCCCUGACUCAUCAUGUUGCCCCAGUACACAACCUAUUGAAUUUUCGAACACAUUCAGAUACAAUAUUAACGGUCUUACUAGAGUUGGCGGGACUAGCACCGGGGGACUAGAGAAAUACUGUUUUAUCCUGUAAAAAGCCAUUUGGCACUCCUCGUUCCAUUCUCCCGGAUUAUGUUUUCGAAGAAGUCAAAAAAUUGGGUCACACUGGUUAGUCAGUUGAGCAAUAGACCGAGCAAUGUAGUUCAACCUCCCUAAAAAUCCUCUGACUUCUUUUUGCGUGCGCAGAUGUGGUAGUUCUUGUAUGGCUUUUAUCUUAUUUGGAUCCACUUCAAUGCUUCUCUUGCUGAUGAUGAAGCCUAAUAAUUUUCCCGAGGUAGCCCCAAACGUACACUUGGCUGGAUUAUGCUUCAGUUGGAACUUUCUCAGUCUUUUGAACAACUUCCUGAGGUUCCCAACAUGCUCUCUUUCCCCCUUGGAUUUGGCGAUUAUAUAAUCGACGUAGACUUCUAUUUCUUUGUGCAUCAUGUCAUGAAACAACAUCCCCAUAGCCCUCUGAUAUGUUGCCCCAGCAUUCUUUAAUCCGAACGGCAUCACCUUAUAACAGAAUGUUCCCCACAUCGUUAUGAAAGUAGUUUUCUCCGUAUCUUCAGGAGCUAUCUUUAUCUGAUUAUAACCCGAGAAUCCAUCCAUGAACAAAAAUAAUGAAUGUUUGGCUGUGUUAUCCACCAAUGUAUCGAUGUGUGGCAAAGGAAAAUUAUCUUUAGGACUUGCUCGAUUCAGAUCACGAUAAUCCACACACAUCCGUACCUUGCCAUCUUUCUUCGGUACUGUGACUAUGUUAGCUACCCAUUCUGGGUACUUAGAGACUUGUAAGAAGCCAGCAUCGAAUUUUUUCUUAACUUCUUUUAUCUUUAACAGCAUUUCAGGUCUCAUUCGUCUUAGCUUCUGUUGAAUGGGUUUGCAUUCUGGUUUCAGUGGGAGUCUAUGGACCACUACAUCCGCCUUUCUCGAUCUUUCUGCAACUGUUUUCUUCUCUGUCGUAUAUCCGGCUGGAACCCUAAACUAUAUCGAGCCUUAUGGGGCACUGGUUUUAGAGCUCUAACUAUCCCUUGUUGAUAUGUUCCAAAACCUUUCCUCGCUCGGGCUCCCUUUCCCACAGUCAGCUUAAUUCCCAUUUUGGUAUCCCUUGAUAGCUUAGGCAUGGAAAUUUUAUUUCCUUCAGCAACGAACGUAGCAUUGAUGAAUUCGAAGGAACGGAAGGAACAUUCUACUGCAUCAUUGCUUACUUCGAGGUAUGGUGUAUCAGUAGAGAUAGAUGCGAUAAUGUCUUCCUCACCCACGAUAGUGACCAAAAGACCAUCCAUAAUAAACUUCACUUUUUGAUGGAGAGAUGAAGGAACUGCCCCAGCAGAGUAGAUCCAAUGCCUUCCUAAAAGGAAAUUAUACAAAGGCGUGAUGUCCAUGACCUGAAACUCGAUGUCAUAUAUAUAGGGGCCCACUUCUAGAGGAAUUUCAAUUUUUCCGAUGACUUCUCGUAUUGUCCCAUCGAAUGCUUUUACUGUAGAGUGAAAAGGCCUCAUAUAAGAUAAAUCAAUUGGAAUUCUAGAAAGCGUAGCCAAAGGUAUGACAUUGAGUGCUGACCCGUUAUCAAUGAACACAUUCUGUAACACCCCUAUCCCGUAUCCGUCGCCGGAAUAGGUAAAAGGGCAUUAACGGACUUGAAACUCAUAUCCGAACAGUGAAAAUUUUGAAUAUUUUUAUUUAUUUAUUUAUUUUUUAAAGAACGUUCCUUUAGGUAAAUACUAAAGACAGUCAGGGAUACAAUUUAACUUCUAUAAGUACACAUUCAAAAGAUGCCAUUUUCGCAUGGCUUAUAUACAUUAACCUAAAUAUUCUUUGGCCACUGGUCUAUUCUUUACAUGCCAUAAAAUAAUUCAAAACAUAACAGUAACUAGCAGUGGAUAGUGAUAGUGUGACUAGUUGCUGACGAUCCCCGAGCCUGUAGCUUCCAAAUGAGAUCUAUAAAACAGAGGAAACAAAGUAAACGGAGUAAGCAUUACAAUGCUUAGUAAGUUUUAAGCAGUGUCAACAGAUAACAAUCAAAUUAUAACAUAGUUGUUCGUGUUUUUAUUUCACUCUUCCUUCGGGCAUACCAUCCCUUUACCGAAUAUGCACAUCUCAUCAUAUAUAAUAGACAGAUAAAUUCUCACUUGAUAGUGAUCUCUUAUAAACAUAGGUACAUUACAUAUUUUCACCUAACUUUCCCCAUUGACCAAACGCACAAUAAUCAUAGAACAGUCUUAUUGCUUUACUCACAUAUGCAUCACAUAACGACCUUGUGAUUUUAGUCCAAAUCAAGCUUAAAUAUAAUCUCAAGAUACAUACCUGACCAACUUAACGCAUUGAACGUAUUUAUUACCAAUUGUUACUGUGAAGUCAUAUAAUCUUAUGCUUUACUCGAAUCUUCAGCGAAACCUUUAGCUCGAAUAGUCCCCACACGUAGUUAUCGGGUCUUACCCGGGCAAAAUCUCCACACGUAGUCAUCGGGUCUUACCCGGACAUAAUCUCCACACGUAGUCAUCGGGUCUUACCCGGAAUAUAUUUCCAAGUUUCAUGUACAUUUAAUCACAUGUUACAACAUUCACAUCGACUGUCAUUUUUGUAAUUCAUUUGCUUCAUCAAAUAUCUAAUAAUACACACCUUUCACAUUUGGUCAUUCGGCCACAAUAUACACACAUCUCCUACAUAUUUCACACUAGCCAUUCGGCUUUACCACAUAUACAUAUCUCAUAUAUAUAUUUCACACUAGCCAUUCGGCUUUACCACAUAUACAUAUCUCAUAUAUAUGCUUUACCACAUAUACAUAUCUCAUACAUAUUUCACAUUAGCCAUUCGGCUUUACCACAUAUACAUAUCUCAUACAUAUUUCACAUUAGCCAUUCGACUUUACCACAUAUACAUAUCUCAUAUAUAUUUCACAUUAGCCAUUCGGCUUUAGCCAUUCGACUUUACCACAUAUACAUAUCUCAUAUAUAUUUCACAUUAGCCAUUCGGCUUUACCACAUAUACAUAUCUCAUACAUAUUUCACAUUAGCCAUUCGGCUUUACCACAUAUACAUAUAUAUUUAUCUUGUACAUCAAUUUCAGCAAUAGCUUAUAAGCAACUCAAAUAGUUUCAUCAAUGUUUACAACAAAUUCACAUAUUCACUACAAGCUGUUUUCCUGAGCAAUAGUCACUAAAUUAUUCAUAAUUGGAGCUAAAAAACUCAAAAUCAAUUGCCGUUAAUUUUCCCUGAAUAUAGACUCAUAUAUCUUCCAUCCAUAAAAUUUUCAUAAUUUUAGGUUUGGCCAAUCAAUACCAGAUUUUUCUUAAAGUUUCCCCUGUUUCACUGUUUGACUAAUCUGACCACUCUUCACUACGAAUCAAAUUUCUCAUUGUACAGAAUUCAAAAUAUGUUCUAUUUGAUUUAAUUUGAAACUAGACUCAUUAAGGAGUCUAAGAAUAUAAAUUUUAUCUUAUAACCAUUUUUUUACAAAUUAUAAUGAUUUUCUAAAAACAGAACAGGGGAUUUCGGAGUCAUUCUGACCCUGCCUCACACAACUUUAAAUAUCUCUUUAUAAGAAAUUUCUUUGCUUACACGGUCUCUUUUAUAAGAAACUAGACUAAUUAAGCUUUGAUUACAUAUUUUAUUCAGCCUAUAAUUCCACAUCAACAAUUUAUAGUGAUUUUCUAAAAUCACGUUACUGCUGCUGUCCUAAACAAAUUAUUACAAAUUGCUCUUAAAUUUCCAAGUCCAAACACUUAUGAACUUGCCAUUUGAGUUUAAGACAUAUCAUGGCCACAUCAUAUCUUAUUAAACCAACUCAUUAUGUCCUAUUAUGAUUGAAUUUACUCAACGUUUAAUCACUUAAAACUUACCUCGGAAGUGGUCGACGACUAGAUAUCCACGGCCAUUCGUUUACUUUCUCUUUUCCCCUAUCCGACUUUGAUCCUCUUCGCUCUUAAGCUUAAGUAAAACAAUAGAUUUGCUUAAGUACUUAACUAAUAUUAUUCACUUAACAAUCACAUUUGGCAAUCACAUAUCAUUUAAUCUAUAUCUAAAACAAUAGAUUUCAUUAUGUAUCAUAUUUAAUAAAACAUGCCAUGACUCGAUUUCAUGCUUAUUUAAUUUAUAUCUAAUUCACAUUCACAAGCAAGGAGUCACUUAAUUUAUCAUGCUUCCUUAUACAUGAAUUUAAUCAUAUUGCCGAAUGUCCUUAUGUGUACAUGGUACAUACAUAAGGCAUAUAUAUAUAUGUAUAUAUAUACCUAUAUAUGACCAUUACAAUUUAAAUAUUUAAUCAUAAUCGGCAAGCUUUAUUUCAACUAUUUAAGGUGCAAACCAAUUAUGUUAUUCAUUAACAUUUCGUCCUAUUAAAUCUUUGAUUAACCAAUUUAACACAUACCAAAAUUCAAUCAUACAUCUAACCUUUAUCUCAAUACUAAACCGAGUUACAAGAUUAUACAUUACACUAAGCAUAUCAUUAAACAUACCUAUUCAAUUUAGCUAAUUUCAUAGCCGAUUAAUCACCUUACCCCACAUUACUCAAUGCCGAAUAUUAACCCAACAUCCCAAGCAUAAUCACCAUGAAACUUACCUUAAUACACCUUUUAUCCCAUUGCCGAAUACAUAUAUAUAUCAUCAAACAAAUAUUUAUUCGCAUAACAACAAUUCAUUCACAUCUCUAUAAAUGAUCAUAAUCGGACAUUAUAAACAAAUCAUAAAACAGCUCAUAACCAUCAUCUAUAUUUACUUCACAUAAACCGAAAUAACCAUUACAUCAUCUUUAAUACACUUAGCAUUUUACCCAUUUAAUCAAGCCAAAUCUCAAGACCAUUCCAUCACACAAAUUAUACCAUAAAUCAUACUUACAAUUUAAGUUAAUACAUGACCGAAAAUCACCAUCAUUCACAUCGUUAUCAAACCAAAACCAAAACACACCUAUCAUCCGUAUGCCAAGCUUACCAAAACAAACUACUAUGAGUUUCAAGCUUAUUGACCGAAUCUCAAACCUCAAAAUUCUAAGUUUAAUCUACGGGAUAAGUAGAGUUUGAACUAAUCAUCUCAAACAUGCAUAGAUUUUCAAGAAUCAUUCAAUACAUACCUCAUUCUAGCCAUCUUCUAAGCCAAAAAUCAAAGCAACCAAACUUUCUUCUUCUUCCUUCCUCAAGUCACGGCAAUGGGGGAGCAUGGAUGAGACAACUUUGUUUUCAUCACCCCUCCCUUUUCAUUACUUUAUUACUAACCUUUUAUUUUAUUAUUUUUAACAUAAAACAUUAACACAAAAUGUUUAUAAUAUGUUUUAACCCAUAGCAUGGACGGCCACUACCUAAAGUUUUGGGUAAUUUGACAUGCAAGGACAAGCAUUUUCUAACAUGCAUCAAUAGGCCACUUUAACAUUUGCCUAGCACAUUUCUAAAUUUUCUCACACAAGUCCUAUUUAAUAAAACUCACUUACAAUUAACAAAAUUCAAACAUGAAUUUUUCACACAUGCCUAUAUAUAUAAUAAGCAUCAAAUAUGAUGGUUAAUUAUUUUUAUGACUCGGUUUUGUGGUCCCGAAACCACUUUCCGACUAGGGUCACAUUAGGGGUGUCACACAUUCAGUAUUAUAUAACCCUUGCAACGGGUUGUGAUAUGUAAUGCUUUUACGGAGCCCCUACCAUUUGGCGGUAUUUUAUCAUCACUGAAUGAAAUAAAAUUAUCCGUGUUCAGGUUAUUCACCCACCUAUCAAGCUUUUCGACAGAUAUAUUGCUUGCCACGUAAGCUUGAUUUAAUACUUUCAGCAAAGCAUUCCGAUGUGGUUCUGAAUUCAACAGUAGGGAUAAUACCGAGAUUCGUGCCGGUUGUUUGCUUAACUGUUCCACGACGUUAUAUUCACUAUGUUUGAUGAACUUCAAGAAUUUAUAUGCUUCCUCUUCAUUCACAGGCUUUUUAACUUCUUGUUAGGACGGAGUCUCAAGUUCUACCUCGACCUCAUGCAUCGGUGCCUUUCCUUUCUGCUUCAAGUCAUUAGUCUUAUUCAUUGGUUCGACUGCUUUAGAAUAACACCUCCCGCUGCGGGUGAAGUGUCCUACUUCGCCAGCAUUUCUGGUCGUGACUUUGGAUUUGUCAUUUUCAGGUAUGAUAAUGUUGACAUCAUAUUUCCAUGGUACUGCAUUGUUGUCUUUGUAAGGGAAAGGAGAUGGUACUUCAAUUAUCAUCUUUGGUUUCACUUGCUCUUUUUUUGCAUCGUAAUAAAUCACCAGUGGUCAAUCGGCACUAUAAGGGAAACCUGAUGAUUGAUUAUCAGAAGUGCAUACUUCUCUUUCAUCGUCCUCUUUCAUUUUGUUAAAGAUCUCGACUUCUUUUUUGUCCAUCAUGUCUUGAAGUAGCUUUCUGAAUCCUUCACAAGACUGGAUGUCAUGCCCCUCGACCUUAUGAAAAUCACAAAAACACUGGCUUUUUGUAUUUCCUUCUUUGGAAAUUCUGUUGGGGCGAUAGAACGGCCCUUUUUCAACCAUUACCUCCCAAAUCUUUCGCAGUGGUGUCUUUAUUUCAGAAACACAACUUCUGGCACGCCACUUAUCUUCUUUUGUCACCGUGAUCACGUUACCUUCAGUGUGGUUAGGGAGCGGGUUUCUAGCCGUAUUGCCAGCACCAUCAAAUUGUAGAAUGCCUGCAUCAAUAAGACUUUGAACUCUCCUUUUAAAGGCCAAACAAUUUUCUGUAGAAUGCCUCUGGUUUCCGGCGUAGUACAUGCAACUAGCAUUAGGAUUGUAUCAUUUUGGGUAUGAAGGCUUCAGGGGUGCCAUAUAAUGUGGGGAUAUUAAUUAUUUUUCCAACAGUUUUGGGUAUAGCUCUCCGUAUGACACGGGAAUUGGGGUGAAUUGGGGUUUUUUAGGAUUGGAUCUUGUCGGUAUUUGUUCAUUUUUGGGUUGGCUUUGAGUAUGCAUGGUAUUUGGUGGGAACAUGGCAAAUGGUAUUUAGUUAUCUGUGGUGUGGACGGGGUAAGGAGGAUAUGCUUGAUAGUAAGGGCUUCAGGGAGGAUAAUAAAAGUUUAGAGGUGGGCGAUAUCGAGGUCGUGUCUGGACUGGGUAAGGAUUAGAAGUGUGGUGGCUUUCAGUUCCCACCAUAUGGGUUUUUGCUUCUUUUUUCUUUAUGGGUGCUGCCCUUUUCGAGCUUUCGGGGCCUUCCAUCCUUCCACUCUUGAUGGCAUUUUCUAUAAGUUCCCCGGAUAUUACAAUAUCUGCAAAGUCUUUCGUGGCACUUCCUACUAACUUAUCAUAAAACGGUACUUUCAAAGUAUUGAUAAAGAGGACCGUUAUUUCAGUUUUAGUUAAUAGGGGUUCUACUUGAGCCGAGAUACUCGUCCACCUUUGCGCGUAUUGCCUAAAAGUCUCCGUCGGCUUUUUUUCCAUCAUCUGCAGAGUUAGUCAAUCGGGCACCAUGUCGGAUACAUGCUUGUAUUGUUCGCAAAAUGCCGAUGCCAAGUCUUUCUAUGAUCUGAUCCUUUCUCUACUAAGUUGAUUAUACCAUCGAAGGGCCGAUCCGACCAAGCUGUCCUGGAAAUAGUGUAUUAACAAUUUAUCUUCAUUCACGUAACCAAUCAUUUUCCAGGAAAAACAUGACAAGAUAUGCCUUUGGACAUUUCGUUCCAUCAUAUUUUUCAAAAUCUGGCACUUUAAAUUUUGGAGGCAGAACCAGAUCGGGUACCAAAGUAAGCUCUUUGGCACUUAGUGCAGAGAAGGUUUCAGCACAUUCUAUCGCUUUGAGCCUUUCUUCCAAGCUCUUAUACUUAUCCUGGGCAUCAUGAUCAUCCAUUUUCAACUUGGCUAUUUUUACCGGAUCAUCUAAAUCUGGAACAUUGGGAUUAGCAGGAUUAGCUCUAGGGCUCGAUACGAAUAUACCUUGCCCUAGAUGAGCAGGGGUACGGGUCGUUACUCCAAGCUUGCAGGUUCUCCUCGAGGACAUUCUAUUUGCAUUACAUGUGCAUGAGGUGGAGUGAAUCCUGGGGGAUAGAGUGGAUCCUGAUCAUGAUUAGUUUUUGGCUGAGGCUCCAUAGUGUCAGGGCUCUGCAUAGGUCCUUGUCCCUUGACCAAAGCUGUCAUCAUCUCCAUCAUUUUGGCCAUUUGAUCUCUUUGCUCGAGUGAUUCCUCUCGAGGUCUUAACAUUAGAUCUCUUGCUUCCUAUUGUGAUUUGGUCAACUACUCUUGCGAUUCUCUUUGGGUCCUUUCCAUCCUUUCAAUUCUCUCAUUGAACUCGGCUUCCAUAAUUCUAGCUUUUCGACGCGUCCUAUAAGAAUGGCGUGAUUCUAGACUUGGAGUAUCACAGCUGCGGAUUAUACGGUUUUAGCCUUGGUGAAUGAUUAUGGUAAUAUAUACAUGAAAUGAAUGAAUGAAUGAAUGUCAAAUGAAUGUUAGUCAUGAAUGAAUGUGCAAGAAUUUGGUGUUGAUUUCAAGAUAGUCCCUACUUAGGCAUUUCAUUAAACAAAAGAGUCUAUUACAAAAUAUUUCGCUAUUUUUUGAUUCAACAGUUACACAAAUUUUCUAGCCACAUUGCCUUGUUUCUUCACUCGUUUUAAGAAUUCUGAUAUGCUUGAUCUUUGACUCGGAGGGAAUUGGCAACUGAGAGCUUCGGCUUCAUCUAAUAGUUGCACAACUUGCAUAACCGCCUUGCGAAUUUCAUUGAUCAAAAAGUCGAGUUGCAUUUCUUUUUCUUGGAGAGCUCUUUCGUAGAUGUAAGUGUCUCUGUCAUACUAAGUAUUCUUUUCUUCCAGGGCUUUUAAGAGAUUAUCCAACUGUUACUGUUGAGCUUGCAGUGUAUUUUCUAAAUCUCGCACUUUCCUUCUUAGCUCUUGAUGUUUAGACUAACUAGUCACAAAUUCUGCAGACGCAGUUUCAUACUCAGCAUUCUUCUUCCUUAACUCUAUCAUAGCACGCACAGCUUUUUCCUCUUCUUUCUUUACUUUCCCUUUCCAGAAUUCUAUCCCACUUUGAUGUUGCUAAUUUCUUUCUUCUAUUCUGCUGACGACUUUCCCAAACCCUUAUUUUUUAUAGUGUUUCUUAAUUUCUUAUUUUCCAAAUGAAGGUCCCUUAAGCCGUUUCUCACGAUCUCAACUUCUUUUUGAACUUUUAUGGUUUUGGAUUCUUCAAUUUCGACCCCGAUCUUCAGCUUGUAAUUUUCCUCUUGAAGAGAACUAAUACCCCAUAAUAACUUGGCCUUUUCAUGUUUAAAUUCAUGUCUCGCUAAUUCCAGCUCGGAUGGCAUUUCUUUUGAGAAAGGAUUCUGGAAAGUGUAACUCAUCAGUGAGAUUUGUUGACUAUUUACUCGUCAUUUUCUCCAUAAGUCAUAAUCCUGAGUGGUAGUAUCAGCAUAAAGGGCUAACUCUAUAAGGUGAAUUUCCUUCUAAGACUUUGUAGUAUCUCAGACUCUUUUCAUAUAGCCUUCACCCGUAAAGGCGAACUCUGAUUGUGCCAAUCCUCCGGUAGCAGGUAUGAACUGUCGUGAAGCAAACAGCCUUUGAACCAUUAACGGAGCGUAUCCAAUUCCUCUCCAUAAUCCUAGUAAAGGCACCAAAUCUUGGCUUCCAUAUUUAUAUAAUAUAACUGAAGGACGGAUCCAUGGUGCUCCCCAUUAAGUAACUGCGCGCAUCCGAUAAAACGUCCUUCCCCUUUCCUCCUACAACAACUUAAAGAUGUAAAAGUCUCGACCAAGAUAGCCAGGACGGGGUUGAUCCCUUGCUUCAAUCUUUCGAAGAAAUCCACUACCGCGACUUCUAUGUGCCCGAGAACUUUUAGGAAAACAAUUAAUCCGUAAAUGGCCAAAGCAAAUAGAUCAAUCCUCUUCAUAAUAUCUGGAUGGUUUUGAACUAAAUCUCGCAAAGAAAACCACAGAACACAACUAACUUCGUUCUUUUUAUUUAUUUGCUUUUCAGCCCACAUAUCAAUCAUUCUCGUCAACCUCACUAACUUUUUCUUGAAGGUCAUUGGUUUGGGCUCCUUCACAUAUAUCUUGCUGAAUUGUACAUUGUCAAUGCGAAGCUAGGCAGCAUACUCUUCUAUGGUCAGAGUCAUAUCUUCCUGAUUGAAAGUAAAGCACUGGUAAGUUGGGUCCCAGAAUUAAACCAUGGCUUGAAUCAACUGUUUGUCUAUAUUGAUGGCGAUCAAGUGAGCUAUAUCCCCGUAUUUUUCAGUAAAGAUGCCUCUAGUAUCUGAGUCCUACUGUUUCCAAAUCUGAGUCAAAUCCUCGAGAUUAUUUUGACGAACAUUUGUAGCUACUUGCUCGGGAAGAUUGGAGAUACAUCAUUCUGUUAAACUGUCCCCUUUCGCCUUCUGAGUUUUCAAAGACCAGUCUCGAACCACUGUAUUUUUCUCAGUCAUUUGUGUAAUUGACUCCUCCAUCAGAAACCUGUUUUUGGCAACCAAUCUCUAAUUAACACCUCCCUAAUCAAGAUGCCUAUGAUGCAUGAUGAAAAAUAAAAACAAAGACAAACAACUUUGGCUAGUAACCACAACAAAUAAGAACUGAGGAAAACUAUAGAAACUUCAACAAAUUAAGCUACCCGAUUCAAUUUCUUUCCAUAAACAGUGUAAUGUAAAGGAAAUGAAAGGCAAGAGCGUUUCUCCCGUGUACUUAUUUUAGUGACUAUUAACGGAAAGAGGUUCGGCGUGGCUCUAAUUAGGUGGCUCAUAUGGUUUACUAUAUGCGAUUUCGGUUCUAGACAGGUACUCGAAUUGUUCGUACUAUCGUCUACUAAAACUAGUACGAAGCCUCGGUCGUAGCCCAUCACAGGCUCACGAGUUCAAUUCGAGGGAUUACAUUUACUUAUGUCUAUGCAGAGGGACAAGUUAACUCACAAAAGCAUAAGUCAUAUGUUAUCCGAAAGUAUUCACUAGCCUAUGCGGAGGCACGAGUUAACUCACGAAGGCAUAGCGUUUACUUCGACUAAAGCGGACGAAACCUGGGUGGAGAGCUCAUGUUAUGCAAAAAUGCAAGUGCACGGUGUGUGGGGAGAAACUCACAAACAUUUACGUUUUACUUAAAAACUAAACUAAAAAAACUAAAACCAUAAGAACUUAGAGCCGAAAAUCAACAAGAUGAAAUAAAUUAGAAGAAUAUUUACAACAUGAUGCAAAUGCAUGACUUUUCAAAACAAAAUUUAAGGAUCACGACUAAAUAUUAAUUUGAACAAGGAAUUUUGAAAAUUUUGACAACACGUGUUUAAUUCAAGACUCGACUCUCAAAAAUGUCCCCAGUGGAGUCGCCAGUUGUAGCGACGUAAAUUUUUUUUGCUUUGGUCGUUAAUUGAGGCGAUUUAUUGAAAAUUUGAAAAACUGACUUUUGAUUUUUUUUUAAAAAGGGAGUCGCCACCGAUCCUUUUUCCUAGGUGUGAUCGGACACUUGAUAAAUCUUCGUUUUAACAAAAAAAAAUUAUUUUUGAUAAGAAGGAAGACGAGUUUAGGUCUACGUGAAAGUUCAAAGAAAAAUAGGGUUCGGAAGUCGGUUACGCGCGGGGAAGGUAUUAGCACCCCCGCGACGCCCAAAAUUGGUAUCUCAUUAAACAUGUGUUGUCUCAAUUUUCAAAAAUGCGAGUUCAAUGUAACGUUUAAUCGUGAUCCGAUCAAAACAUGAGAAAUUUCAAGUUUAUGGUUUUUUUUGAAGGAUGUCCCGUUUUUAACACGAGCCAACGUGAUUCACCCAACAUAGCGAUGAAAUCACAAACUUAAUGUUAAAAUCGGUACAUUUCCUUAUUUAUUGAAAUUAAUAAAAAACAUGAAUAAAAAUAUUUUUUAAAAUAAAAAUUCAUAAAUAAAUAAACGGUGCAAACAAUGAUAUAAUGAAUGAAAAAUACUAACAUAUAAUAUAAAAGCAAUAGGAUAAAAAUAAAAACAAUAUUUACAAUAAAAAGAAAAUAAUAAUAAAAAAUAAUGAUAUGCUAAUAAUAUAAUAAGAAAAGCAAACUGAUACGGAAUGGGUAAGAAACAAAAAAUAAAGGAGUUAGAAAUACAUUGAAGUAAAUAAUAAAUAUGAUAAUAAUAUUAAAAACAAUAACAAUGCAUGCGAUAUUAAAUGUAAUAGUAAUAUUAAACACGAAAUAAAAACAACGAAUAUAUAUACAUAUAAUAAUAGUUAGUAAAGUGACGAAAACAUGAUAUUAAAAACACUAAUAAUGUUACCUAUAUACAUACAUAUAUAUAUUAAAAUAUAAACAUAAUAAUAGUAUUACAAAGUAUAUAUAUAAUAUUAAAAAUAUAUACAUAAUAUAUACAUAUUAGAGAUAAUAAUAAUAUUAAAAACAACUAUUAAUAAUACUACAUAAGUAUACACAUAUAUAUUAAAAAUAAAUACAUAAUAAUAUUAAAAGUAUAUACAUAAUAUAUAUAAAAUAUAGUUGUCGAAACCAUCCCUCGAUUUAAAAUAUUUUAGAUUUAAAAAAGGAGAGAUCGACUUUUUGAAAAAUAGCAAGAUGGAGUCGCCACCGUUCUUUUGUUUUGAUGUGAUCGGAUCACCUAAGGAUUUGGUUAUUUUAAUGAGACAUUUUCAGUUUACUAAAACACAGAUUAUGGUCUACGAAAAUUUUAGAAAACGGGCUCGGGAGUCGGUUACGUAUGAGGAAGGGUUAGCACCCUCACUAUGCCCAAAAUUGGUACCAAAUCGAUUAAAUACUGUCCUUAUGUCUAAAGUUAAAAAGUUUUUGAAAUGUGGUUCUUCUUUAUGACGUUUGAGUAACCCAAGUUGGUUGCCAAAAUCUUCUUGUUUCAAUAUUCGAAAGCUUAUAAUUCGAGAAUUACAAAAGGAUGCUCAACUAUUUAGUCCAACGAAAAAUCGAAACCCAGCACAGUAGGGUACGAUUUCUCGAAUUUCCAAACAUUGACCAUUGCCUUACCUUAUAAAAUACGUGUGAAAUUCCGAGGAGAUAUUCGAUUAUUUUGGACAAAUGAAAAAGCGCAACCCAACACGAUAGGGCUCGAUUCUCAAAUUGCCAAUCAUCGAACAUCGCCUACAUUUUGAAAGAUUUUAGAAAAUGUGAGUGAAAUUCCAAUGGGAUGUUCAACUGUUCCGAACCAAUGAAAAAGCGCAACCCAGCACGAUAAGGCACGAUUCUCAAAUAGCCAAACAUUGAACAUCGUCUUUGUUUUUAAGUAUUUUUUUUAUAUAAACAUGAGUGAGAAUAUAAAGGAAUGUUCAAUCGUUUUGAGCAAACGAGAAAUCACAACCCAUCACGAUAGGGCAUGAUUCUCGGAUUGUCAAACGCCAAAUAUUGCCUUCAUUUUAAAUAAUUUUUAGAUGAUAUGAAUGAAAUUUUGAAGGGAUACUGGAUUAUUUUGAGCAAACGCGAAGUUGCAACCUAACACGUUAGGACACAAUUUCGCGAAUUGCUAAAUAUCGAAUCUCGUCUUCGUUUUGAAGAAUUUUUGAAUGAAUGAUUAUAAAGCUAGCUUAAGACGUAUUAAUUCGAUUUGAAAUAAGGUGAAAUUAAUCAUAAGAUUCGGGUUUUAUAGAACCACAUUUCAAAAAUCAAGAUGGAAAACGAUGAUAUAAGGUAAUAGGCAUAUACGAGAUGUGAUCAACUAACAUACUAAUAAUUAAACGGGACUAAUCUAAAAAGGUAAUGCGAUUGCAAUAAUACAUGGAGAGUAGUCGAUGUGAUGACAUAUAAGAAUGCGCAAAUACGACGUAGCAAAUAUACAAGAAGUAUCGUGAAGAUAAUUAACACAUGAGGUACCAACGAUAUAGAAUCAACACGACACAAAAAUAAUGGACUAAAAAUGAUGGACUAACAAUCAAGUAAUAUAUGCUAGAAUUUGAAACAAUUUAUAUAUAUAUAAAAAAAAGUGUUUAUAUACGUACGAGUGAAUUUUGAAGUAACUAUAUACAAAAUAACAUGAAAUUAAAAAAUAUGAAUUAUAUAUAUAGAAAAAUGGAUUGAUUUUAUCACAAAUUAUAUAUAUAUAUGUAUGUAUGAAAAUAAACUAGAAACAAUUGCUUGUAAAAAAACAUAGAAACAUAUUCAAGAUUGAAUUAUUCUUAUUAUAAAUUAUGAUGGACUUAAAAGCACGCUUAUGUAUAAAGAAAACUAUAUAUAUGUAAAAUAUAGGUUUGAUAAUGUAUGUAAAUCGAAAAACAUGUACUAAUGUAAAUGAAUAACUUAAAUUUUAUGUAAACAUAUAUACAAAGCAUAUUUGAAUAGCAAGAAUAUGUAUUAAAAUACAUGAUCAAAUAUAUAUAUAGGAAAUAAGUGGUAAAUAAAGUGAAUAAUGGCUUAAGAUAUAUAUAUAUAUAUAUACAUACAUAUAUAAGUACAAGAUACAUAAUAUGAAAGAAGAACCUUAAAGUAGGUAAUAAAUAAAAUAUUUUAAAGUAAAUAAAUAAAGUUUAAGAAUAUAUUUAAAAUAAAAUAUAAAUAGUUUAAAAUAUAAUUCAUGAAAGGAAAUCUGAAAUAGAACAUUGUAUACAUAAAAAGAUUUAUAUAUGAAUAAUAUAUAUAUAUAUAUAAAAACGUUAAAAAUAGAUAAUGUUAAUAUAUACAUAAAAGUUUAAAACAAUAAUAUUUAAAUAAUAAAACUCACAACAAAUAAUGAAACAAUCUUUAAAACAUAUAUGCAUAAAAAAAUAUUUAAAACAAAAUGUAUAUAUAACUAUUCAAAAUGAGUAACAUGAACAAUUUAAUACAAAGUUUAAAAUAACUACGAUGGUUUGAAAUAAACAAAAAGGUUUGCAUGUACAUGAACAAGGACUUGAUUGAAAUUAAACUGAAACAACAAGGCAAAACUAAGAAAAUAGAACGAAUAACAAAGGGGGACUAAAUCCUAACGCAAGCAAAUGCCUGGGGUCUAAAAUUGGCAAUAUACCAGACCUCGGAGUGUUGCGUUUAGAUACGGGCCCAAUUACAAACAAACGCAAAUCAUCAGUAUAGAUUAAAAGCAAAUGGGAUGAUGACGCAGGAUGAUUUGGAUGGGGUACGAAAGUAGAGGGGCCAAAAUUGCAAAUAAUCCCUCACCGCGAAAACACGUGGGUCAUCAGGACCACGAACUGGAUCGGGUCGGGCCUUGGCUACACGACGCCGUAUUUGAGCUACAGAGACAUGCUCGAACGGCGACGUUUUCAAAUCACCAUAAAGGCUCAUUUAGGCUUGCCCGCCGAACCCUAGCCUCUCUUCCCAAUCGUCAGCCUCACACUUUCUCCUUCCAGCGUCGAUUCAUCUCCAUCAGAUAGAUGCUCUUAGAGCCUGGAGGAAUCUUGGCCGGAGAUCCCUCCUCAACUUAAAUUUCAACGAAGAGAGGAGGAGAAAUCUGUAGCGUGCUCGCGCGGUAAGGUUUCUCAGUCACUGUUCUUACUAUGUUUUUUAAAAAAAAUGGUGAAUGAUUCCCAUAGAAUACGAAACGAUGUGAAGAAAGGUAAAGAGAUUCGAAGGAAGAAAUCACAUCUGCUAUUUUUUGCUUUCUAUUACGUGUAUAUUCUGUGAAUAUGCGUUCGUAUUGCUUGUGUGUAACCGAUUACAAGGAUCAAAACUUCUGCUUUAUAGCCGAAGAAAAAAGGAAAAUCAAAAUAAAACACAAUAUUUCUCUUCUAUUUCCUAUUUGCUGCUGUUCUGCCUCGUUUGUUUGCAGGUACGAGUACGGGGCUGUGCGUUGGCCCUUGGCACGAGGCAUACGGGGCUGUGCUGGCGCGGGUACGGAGGUGGCUGACGUGGGGGCUGGGGCUUGGCUACCUGGUGAAGGCUGCGGCGCGAGGACCCCUCUGCCCUAGGGUUUGCCGAAGUUUGGUUUGGCUCUCGGGCUAUUUGGGGCUCAUUUUAAGUGUUGGGCCACUAGAUUUGGGCUAGAGGGACUCUUUUGGAUAUUUGGGUUUGUGAUAGGGCAUUAGGCCAUGUAAUUGGGCUGUUAUAAAACUUGGGUUUUAUAUUUAGGUCUAGUUUAUGUAAUUGGGUUGGGCCAUGUAAUGAUUUGGUUUGUAAAAAGACAUUAAUUUGGACUGUUUUAUUUAUUUUAUGUUUAUG
RNAcentral lists this long non-coding RNA (21083 nucleotides) under Gossypium barbadense (sea-island cotton). RNAcentral's name for it is "long non-coding RNA (GBAR_LNC009967)". Lineage: Eukaryota; Viridiplantae; Streptophyta; Magnoliopsida; Malvales; Malvaceae. The record is from RNAcentral.